UGGGGAAUUUUGGACAAUGGGCGAAAGCCUGAUCCAGCAAUGCCGCGUGUGUGAAGAAGGCCUUCGGGUUGUAAAGCACUUUUGUCCGGAAAGAAAUCCUUGGCUCUAAUACAGUCGGGGGAUGACGGUACCGGAAGAAUAAGCACCGGCUAACUACGUGCCAGCAGCCGCGGUAAUACGUAGGGUGCAAGCGUUAAUCGGAAUUACUGGGCGUAAAGCGUGCGCAGGCGGUUUGCUAAGACCGAUGUGAAAUCCCCGGGCUCAACCUGGGAACUGCAUUGGUGACUGGCAGGCUAGAGUAUGGCAGAGGGGGGUAGAAUUCCACGUGUAGCAGUGAAAUGCGUAGAGAUGUGGAGGAAUACCGAUGGCGAAGGCAGCCCCCUGGGCCAAUACUGACGCUCAUGCACGAAAGCGUGGGGGAGCAAACAGGAUUAGAUACCCUGGUAGUCCACGCCCUAAACGAUGUCAACUAGUUGUUGGGGAUUCAUUUCCUUAGUAACGUAGCUAACGCGUGAAGUUGACCGCCUGGGGAGUACGGUCGCAAGAUUAAAACUGAAAUGAAUUGACGGGGUCAUAGCUGUUUCCU
This 586-nucleotide ribosomal RNA is filed under the name uncultured bacterium. Its description in RNAcentral is "partial 16S ribosomal RNA". It matches the Rfam family "Bacterial small subunit ribosomal RNA", at positions 355 to 1375 of the family's 1533-position model. The record is from RNAcentral.